This 483-nucleotide ribosomal RNA is filed under the name Rhynchocinetes brucei. RNAcentral describes it as "partial 16S ribosomal RNA". It matches the Rfam family "Archaeal large subunit ribosomal RNA", at positions 1925 to 2631 of the family's 2987-position model. Lineage: Eukaryota; Metazoa; Arthropoda; Malacostraca; Decapoda; Rhynchocinetidae. The record is from RNAcentral.
UCCGUACGGAAUAAAAUAUAGGGUCGGGCCUGCCCACUGGUGUUUAUAUMUGAAGGGCUGCGGUAAUUUUGACCGUGCAAAGGUAGCAUAAUCGUCUGCCUUUUAAUUGAAGGCUGGUAUGAAUGGUCUGACAAGAGUAAAGCUGUCUUUAAGAUAAAAAUUGAAUUUUACUACUAUGUGAGAAGGCUUAAAUAAAAUGAAGAGAAGAUAAGACCCUAUAAAGCUUGAAUACGGUAAAAAUUAUAGUAUGAUUUAAAGUAUAAAAUUUUAGCUAGAAAUUUAUUUUGUUGGGGGGACAAUAAUAUAUGAAAAAGUAACUGUUAAAACGGUAAAAUAUAAUAAAUAUAAAAGAAAAUGAUCCUUUAAUAAGGAUUAAAAGGAAAAGUUACUUUAGGGAUAACAGCGUAAUUUUCCUUGAGAGUCCUUAUCGACAGGAGUAGUUGCGACCUCGAUGUUGAAUUAACAAAACUUUAUGGGGCAGUC